Paramuricea clavata is the source of this 477-nucleotide non-coding RNA. NCBI's taxonomy places the organism in Eukaryota, Metazoa, Cnidaria, Anthozoa, Malacalcyonacea, Plexauridae. The record is from the annotation of a GenBank genome assembly.
AAUUUUAAAAUCUAGAUCCCCUGAAAUGCGAUUUCAAGCAUUUUGGGAGUGAAAUCUUGGACAAUUCUGAAAAUUAUUUUCCCACACAUUUCUCCUCGGAGUUAAAUAAGUUGGAAAAGUCACCUUGAAAAGCCACCUUAUAUGCCACUGGUCAAAAGUCUGAGUCCAGUCAAUAUGAUCUUGCCUUUUUAUAUUGAUAUACAAUACAUUUUGACACAACACACUACUAUAUGUGCAACAAAUAAGGAUAUACACUACAGUUGGAAUUGAUUAUACUAUAUUAGCCAAGUGAAUAUUAUAUUGAUAUUUGUGUGACCUCCUUUUGAUUUUAAAACAGCUUAAAAUCUUCCUGGCAUACAUGUAGACUGAACAAAUUUUGAUGGUUUUUUCUUAGUAUUUAAUAUGGUUUUUCUUAGUAUUGAUGGUUUUCAAGGUUAUUCCAGAAUUAUUGAUUAACAACAUGCUAUUGGUUGGCUG